This 492-nucleotide ribosomal RNA is filed under the name uncultured bacterium. RNAcentral describes it as "partial 16S ribosomal RNA". It matches the Rfam family "Bacterial small subunit ribosomal RNA", at positions 29 to 507 of the family's 1533-position model. The record is from RNAcentral.
AGUGAACGCUGGCGGUAGGCCUAACACAUGCAAGUCGAACGGCAGCACAGUAAGAGCUUGCUCUUACGGGUGGCGAGUGGCGGACGGGUGAGGAAUACAUCGGAAUCUACUUUUUCGUGGGGGAUAACGUAGGGAAACUUACGCUAAUACCGCAUACGACCUACGGGUGAAAGCAGGGGAUCUUCGGACCUUGCGCGAUUGAAUGAGCCGAUGUCGGAUUAGCUAGUUGGCGGGGUAAAGGCCCACCAAGGCGACGAUCCGUAGCUGGUCUGAGAGGAUGAUGAGCCACACUGGAACUAAGAUACGGUCCAGACGCCUGCGGGAGGCAGCAGUGGGGAAUAUUGGACAAUGGGCGCAAGCCUGAUCCAGCCAUACCGCGUGGGUGAAGAAGGCCUUCGGGUUGUAAAGCCCUUUUGUUGGGAAAGAAAAGCAGCAGGUUAAUACCCCGCUGUUCCGACGGUACCCAAAGAAUAAGCACCGGCUAAGUUCGUG